CCCCAUAACACCAAUCAAUGUUUUUAUUCUUUUUUCUUUCUUCAUAUGGGAUAACGGCCCUGGGUAGAUACGGAGAACGACGGCUGGUCGAAGUUUCAAAACGUCCCAUGGUCCGAAGCCUACAGCGCACUUGGCUCGCUGGAUCUGGUUCAUCAGGCAAGAAAAAUAUCCCAACACCUUAGGUAUACGUUCCUUCCCAAGGAGAAGCAGGGGUGAUGGAAGAGCGGCCAGAGCGCGUUCCAACAAAAAAGCAGCGUCAGCUCAAGGCCCCGUGUAAUUUUUCGAAUCGUCGUCACCAAGGAGAACCUCCCAAUGGCUCGGGCUGAGGAAACAAUUGUGGGCAUGUGUCUUUCAUUUCGCCUGGCUGAGGGGGGAAAACAAGAGCACGCGGCAUAUCGAAACGUGGAAACAAACCACCUACUAUUUCGUACGUGUACAUCGGAUGGUAUAUCCUGCGUGUCCUGUGUUAUUGUAUGGUUGGUUUCUUUGGUACAGGAGUGGUCCUACCUAGGCAAUACUAGUAUGUAACGGCGAUUCCCGACGGCCUGAGGUUAUUGUUUUUGGAAUCAAAUCUCCCUUUUGCGCUGGAUGCGUGGGAGGUGGUGGUGGGGGCAAACGGGGGCUGUUCUUUCGCAUGGUUGAAAUGAAACCCAAGGCUAGAUGACGAACGUGUUCAAGAUAGCAUGCUCCGUAAAUUUGGGAAGGGGUUGGAGACAUGUAUAGUACAUUGGUAAUCGACUUGAUAGCGGAUGGAUGCCCUACAAGAUCCAGGUUUUGUAUUGGGAGGAGAGGAGGAGAGGAGAAGGGAAAGAAAGGGAGAGCGAGAGAUCACAGAAAAACGCUGGCACUUUCAUAUAUCUAACCCAGAUAGAUAGAAGAAAGACGAAGGACGCACAAGCUGCUUAUGGAUCUAUCUCAGACUGCACUCUGUGACUUUGACACAGCUUCUUGUUGUUGCAUCCCUAGACCGUUGGUCACGAGUGGUAUAGGUACUGGGCAAGCCGUGACCGACUCGGCGUCUGUAAUGUAGAAAUAGGAUGGAUAGCGUACUUUUUUAUAUAUACUUGGAAUACUUGGAAUACUUGGGGUUUGAGUAUUUAUCCCCACCCUGAUAUGUCUUAGAAGGAAUCAUCUUCAAACGGAGGGAGGCAGUUGAAAAUAGUAUGGAUGCUGUCAUGCACACAGCAUGGAUCAACAGGCCAAACGAAGAGAGCCGAACCGCCACAAAAAAAAAUGGUUAGUUUAUAGUUCUGAUCUAGAAAUACAACUGUGAAAGCAAAUGCAAUGUGCGUGAUUCACAAGUUUUGUCUUAUUUAUUUUUUUCAUUUUUCUGGGAGCUUCAAAAAAAGCGGCAGGAAUAAUAAAAAAACAAUAGGAGCGAGGACUAUCGCUAUGAGAAAAUAGAAGAAAAAAGGAGAAAAAACCAAGGACACGGAUAUGAAAAAAACUAAGACUGGAAAAUGUAGAUCAUACAUAUCUUUCGAUUUUUAAGCGGAAAACCCAAAAGAAAUGGCAGAGGGUAAAAAGGGGAUGAUUGCAAUUACAUAAAAUCGAGAAGGUAGUUAUACAAUUGAUGUUCAAUUUUCCUUCCUUAUUUUUUAUUAUCUUUGUUUCUGCCUUCUGUCGUUGGCUUAUCACAUUGUUUGGUCUACCACACACGGUUGGCGUCAUGAAUUUUCUUGCGCCUUAUCAAGCACUAUCUUCUAUGUAAUCCUCUACUGUGGCUGCGCGGGAUUUGCCCUUAGACAACGAUUGAUCUGACACCUCCCGCCUCUCAUCAAUAUUGUCUCCUUCUCCGUCUGUCGCUGGUGACGUGUCAUCACCAGGCGCUGCAGCUACAGGCUUGUGAAUUGUUUCGUUCGAUAUUGUUGAACCCCAGUCUGGAGGAGCAGAAGAGGGGCUAGCUGAAGUGUGGCCCCUCGUCGAACUGGUCUGUUCCGGCUCAGCCUGGGAUCCAUGACUUGGUGAGGAGAAUGGGAAUGCCAGGUUUGAAGAAGUUGAAUCCAUGUUAGGCUGUUCAACGUUCAAUGACGCGUGGUGGAGCGAUGUCCCGCGGUCGGUCGUUUCGGUAGUAGAGGGUGUGAAAGUGGGUAAUGUUUGGGAGGAUAAUUGAGUAUUAGGCGUUUGUGAUGCGUGUGUCGGGAAUGGAGGAUUUGCAGAAUGAAAAGUAGAAAUUUGGGUAGAUGCUUGUCCCGCAUAGUUAACCUGUUGUAGAGGUAACAAUGUCCAACCUUGCGGCAGGCUAAGCCCUUCAGGGAGACGACUAUCCCCCGAGCCAAGUGCAGGGAUUUGUGGAUUGGAUGUGAACUGCCUUUGGGUGCCAGUGGAGGGAACAUGUGAUGAUGCUAUAGCAGUAGGGGUAACAGCUGGAGCAGGUACCUGUGGCUGUGGCUGUGGAUGUGGAUGUGGCUGAUGUGGUGGUUGUGUAUGCGGAUGCGCCACGUUUGCUUGAACAGCACGAAGUCUGGUUAAUUCAGCUUGUAACAAACGGACCACUUGUAGUUGCUCAGCCGUAGUCCGCAGACUUUCAAUUACUUGUGAAAUAUGCUGCUCAACUUGCUGAAGCUGAGCCUGUGUAUGCUGGAGGUUGAUUUGCGCGUUUGGUACGGUUGGUUGUGGAAUUUGUUGGACUGGAGCCGGUUGUUGGACUGGAGGCGGUCGCUCAAAGCCAAAUCCAAAGCCAAAUUGUUGCGGUCCAGCUGGCAGGUUGUCCGGGUUACCUCCAGCCUGAGCAGGUGGUGCUUGGCCAUUGUGAACCUGUUGUGCUAAGUUUUGGAAUAAAUCUCCACGGCCAGCUCCAAAUCCGAUACGAAUGGGCCCGAAGUUGAGAACCCAUGCUCUUGGUCGAGCUUCGCCAGGUUGACCAU
RNAcentral lists this small RNA (2867 nucleotides) under Histoplasma capsulatum. RNAcentral describes it as "hypothetical RNA". RNAcentral also lists the same sequence under 1 other name. The record is from RNAcentral. Lineage: Eukaryota; Fungi; Ascomycota; Eurotiomycetes; Onygenales; Ajellomycetaceae.